GAGCAUCUCUGCCCAGCCGCCCGUCUAGGAAGCGAGCACCUCUGCCCGGCCGCCCCGUCUGGGAGGUGAGGAGCGCCUCUGCCCGGCCACCCCGUCUGGGAGGUGAGGAGCGCCUCUGCCCGGCCACCCAUCGUCUGGGAAGUGAGGAGCGCCUCUGCCUGACCGCCCCAUCUGGCAGGUGAGGAGCAUCUCUGCCCAGCUGCCCGUCUAGGAAGCGAGCACCUCUGCCUGGCCACCCCGUCUGGGAGGUGAGGAGCGCCUCUGCCUGGCCGCCCCAUCUGGGAGGUGCAGAGCGCCUCUGCCCGGCUGCCCCGCCUGGGAGGUGAGGAGUGCCUCUGCCCGGCCGACCCGCCUGGGAGUUGAGGAGCGCCUCUGCCCUGCCACCCCAUCUGGGAGGUGUACCCAACAGCUCCGAAGAGACAG
Molecule: long non-coding RNA, 423 nt
Filed under: Homo sapiens (human)
Lineage: Eukaryota; Metazoa; Chordata; Mammalia; Primates; Hominidae
Description: HSALNT0343728
Source: RNAcentral